GGGGAAUAUUGCGCAAUGGGGGAAACCCUGACGCAGCGACGCCGCGUGGGUGAUGAAGGCCUUCGGGUUGUAAAGCCCUGUCGGCUGGGAACAAGUUAGACGUGCUCAUACCACGUUUGAUUGAGUGUACCAGCAAAGGAAGCACCGGCUAACCCUGUGCCAGCAGCCGCGGUAAUACAGGGGGUGCUAGCGUUGUUCGGAAUUACUGGGCGUAAAGGGCGCGUAGGCGGUUUCGCAAGUCAGAAGUGAAAUCCCGGAGCUUAACUCCGGAACUGCUUCUGAUACUGCGAGGCUUGAGUGUAUUAGAGGAUGGCGGAAUUCCUAGUGUAGUGGUGAAAUACGUAGAUAUUAGGAAGAACACCGGUGGCGAAGGCGGCCAUCUGGGAUACAACUGACGCUGAGGCGCGAAAGCGUGGGGAUCAAAC
RNAcentral lists this ribosomal RNA (425 nucleotides) under uncultured bacterium. Its description in RNAcentral is "bacterial SSU rRNA". It matches the Rfam family "Bacterial small subunit ribosomal RNA", at positions 356 to 773 of the family's 1533-position model. The record is from RNAcentral.